Molecule: ribosomal RNA, 56 nt
Filed under: Russula sp. CUH AM113
Lineage: Eukaryota; Fungi; Basidiomycota; Agaricomycetes; Russulales; Russulaceae
Description: partial 28S ribosomal RNA
Source: RNAcentral
UUGACCUCAAAUCGGGUGAGACUACCCGCUGAACUUAAGCAUAUCAAUAAGCCGGA